CCAAUACAUGGACUUACAUCCGACUCCAAACAAAUAACACAAACAAGGAAACAGAAUGCCGAUACAUGGACUUAUAUCCGACUCCAAACAAAAACAAACAAACAGGAAACAGAAUGCCCAUACGUGGACUUACAUCCAACUCCAAACAAAAACCACAAACAAGGAAACAGAAUGCCAAUACAUGGACUUACAUCCAACUCCAAACAAAAACCACAAACAAG
Molecule: long non-coding RNA, 221 nt
Filed under: Lathyrus oleraceus (garden pea)
Lineage: Eukaryota; Viridiplantae; Streptophyta; Magnoliopsida; Fabales; Fabaceae
Description: Pisum sativum (pea) long non-coding RNA (PSAT_LNC016649)
Source: RNAcentral